ACGAACGCUGGCGGCGUGCUUAACCCCUGCCAGUCGCACGGAAAGGCCCUGCUUUUGUGGGGUGCUCGAGUGGCGAACGGGUGAGUAACACGUGAGUAACCUGCCCUUGACUUUGGGAUAACUUCAGGAAACUGGGGCUAAUACCGGCUAGGAGCUCCUGCUGCAUGGUGGGGGUUGGAAAGUUUCGGCGGUUGGGGAUGGACUCGCGGCUUAUCAGCUUGUUGGUGGGGUAGUGGCUUACCAAGGCUUUGACGGGUAGCCGGCCUGAGAGGGUGACCGGCCACAUUGGGACUGAGAUACGGCCCAGACUCCUACGGGAGGCAGCAGUGGGGAAUAUUGCACAAUGGGCGGAAGCCUGAUGCAGCAACGCCGCGUGCGGGAUGACGGCCUUCGGGUUGUAAACCGCUUUCGCCUGUGACGAAGCGUGAGUGACGGUAAUGGGUAAAGAAGCACCGGCUAACUACGU
RNAcentral lists this ribosomal RNA (466 nucleotides) under uncultured bacterium. RNAcentral's name for it is "partial 16S ribosomal RNA". It matches the Rfam family "Bacterial small subunit ribosomal RNA", at positions 29 to 506 of the family's 1533-position model. The record is from RNAcentral.